Molecule: ribosomal RNA, 450 nt
Filed under: uncultured bacterium
Lineage: Bacteria
Description: partial 16S ribosomal RNA
Rfam family: Bacterial small subunit ribosomal RNA
Source: RNAcentral
GUGGGGAAUAUUCCGCAAUGGACGAAAGUCUGACGGAGCAACGCCGCGUGAGUGAUGAAGGUUUUCGGACUGUAAAGCUCUGUUGUUUAGGACGAAAGUGCCUGUUGCAAAUAGUUACAGGUAUUGACGGUACUGAACGAGGAAGCCACGGCUAACUACGUGCCAGCAGCCGCGGUAAUACGUAGGUGGCAAGCGUUGUCCGGAAUUAUUGGGCGUAAAGAGCAUGUAGGCGGGAAUCUAAGUCUGUUGUGAAAAUGCGGGGCUCAACCCCGUAUUGCGAUGGAAACUGGGUUUCUUGAGUGCAGGAGAGGAAAGGGGAAUUCCCAGUGUAGCGGUGAAAUGCGUAGAUAUUGGGAGGAACACCAGUGGCGAAGGCGCCUUUCUGGACUGUGUCUGACGCUGAGAUGCGAAAGCCAGGGUAGCGAACGGGAUUAGAAACCCCGGUAGUCC